Molecule: small nucleolar RNA, 73 nt
Filed under: Procavia capensis (Cape rock hyrax)
Lineage: Eukaryota; Metazoa; Chordata; Mammalia; Hyracoidea; Procaviidae
Source: RNAcentral
GCCUGAUCAUAUCACGCACAACAGCUGGAGCUGCUGACAGAAGGUAUAGUGGUGAACCUAUGAUUUUCUGCAA